This 655-nucleotide ribosomal RNA is filed under the name bacterium SL2.34. RNAcentral's name for it is "bacterial SSU rRNA". It matches the Rfam family "Bacterial small subunit ribosomal RNA", at positions 56 to 710 of the family's 1533-position model. The record is from RNAcentral.
UGCAGUCGAACGGUACAGGCCGCAAGGUGCUGACGAGUGGCGAACGGGUGAGUAAUGCAUCGGAACGUGCCCAGUCGUGGGGGAUAACUGCUCGAAAGAGCAGCUAAUACCGCAUACGAUCUAUGGAUGAAAGCGGGGGACCGUAAGGCCUCGCGCGAUUGGAGCGGCCGAUGUCAGAUUAGGUAGUUGGUGGGGUAAAGGCUCACCAAGCCAACGAUCUGUAGCUGGUCUGAGAGGACGACCAGCCACACUGGGACUGAGACACGGCCCAGACUCCUACGGGAGGCAGCAGUGGGGAAUUUUGGACAAUGGGCGCAAGCCUGAUCCAGCAAUGCCGCGUGCAGGAAGAAGGCCUUCGGGUUGUAAACUGCUUUUGUACGGAACGAAACGGUCUGGGUUAAUACCCUGGGCUAAUGACGGUACCGUAAGAAUAAGCACCGGCUAACUACGUGCCAGCAGCCGCGGUAAUACGUAGGGUGCGAGCGUUAAUCGGAAUUACUGGGCGUAAAGCGUGCGCAGGCGGUGAUGUAAGACAGUCGUGAAAUCCCCGGGCUCAACCUGGGAAUUGCGAUUGUGACUGCAUCGCUGGAGUGCGGCAGAGGGGGAUGGAAUUCCGCGUGUAGCAGUGAAAUGCGUAGAUAUGCGGAGGAACACC